RNAcentral lists this ribosomal RNA (443 nucleotides) under uncultured bacterium. RNAcentral's name for it is "partial 16S ribosomal RNA". It matches the Rfam family "Bacterial small subunit ribosomal RNA", at positions 338 to 795 of the family's 1533-position model. The record is from RNAcentral.
CCUACGGGGGGCUGCAGUGGGGAAUAUUGGGCAAUGGGCGCAAGCCUGACCCAGCAACGCCGCGUGAAGGAAGAAGGCUUUCGGGUUGUAAAUUUCUUUUCUCAGGGACGAAGCAAGUGACGGUACCGGAGGAAUAAGCCACAGCUAACUACGUGCCAGCAGCCGCGGUAAUACGUAGGUGGCAAGCGUUAUCCGGAUUUACUGGGUGUAAAGGGCGUGUAGGCGGGACUGCAAGUCAGAUGUGAAAACCACGGGCUCAACCUGUGGCCUGCAUUUGAAACUGUAGUUCUUGAGUACUGGAGAGGCAGACGGAAUGCCUAGUGUAGCGGGGAAAUGCGUAGAUAUUAGGAGGAACACCAGUGGCGAAGGCGGUCUGCUGGACAGCAACUGACGCUGAGGCGCGAAAGCGUGGGGAGCAAACAGGAUUAGAUAUCCUUGUAGUC